CCUGUGUCAACCGGGCGCGACGGUAAGGAGAAUGGGGACGGUUUUCCCGGUUUCCCACCCCAGCAUCAACGCAUCGGCAUACGUGCUUCUGUCCCGUCCAG
RNAcentral lists this small RNA (101 nucleotides) under uncultured Nitratireductor sp. Its description in RNAcentral is "Rhizobiales sRNA Atu_At1". It matches the Rfam family "Rhizobiales sRNA Atu_At1". The record is from RNAcentral. Lineage: Bacteria; Pseudomonadati; Pseudomonadota; Alphaproteobacteria; Hyphomicrobiales; Phyllobacteriaceae.